AGUUUGAUCCUGGCUCAGAACGAACGCUGGCGGCAGGCCUAACACAUGCAAGUCGAACGGAGUUAUAUUGUAGCUUGCUAUGGUAUAACUUAGUGGCAGACGGGUGAGUAAUGUAUAGGAAUCUACCUAGUAGUACGGAAUAAUUGUUGGAAACGGCAACUAAUACCGUAUACGCCCUACGGGGGAAAAAUUUAUUGCUAUUAGAUGAGCCUAUAUUAGAUUAGCUAGUUGGUGGAGUAAUAGCCUACCAAGGCAAUGAUCUAUAGCUGAUCUGAGAGGAUGAUCAGCCACACUGGAACUGAGAUACGGUCCAGACUCCUACGGGAGGCAGCAGUGGGGAAUAUUGGACAAUGGGCGAAAGCCUGAUCCAGCCAUGCCGCAUGAGUGAAGAAGGCCUUUGGGUUGUAAAGCUCUUUUAGUGAGGAAGAUAAUGACGGUACUCACAGAAGAAGUCCUGGCUAACUCCGUGCCAGCAGCCGCGGUAAUACGGAGAGGGCUAGCGUUAUUCGGAAUUAUUGGGCGUAAAGGGCGCGUAGGCGGAUUAGUAAGUUAAAAGUGAAAUCCCAAGGCUCAACCUUGGAAUUGCUUUUAAAACUGCUAAUCUAGAGAUUGAAAGAGGAUAGAGGAAUUCCUAGUGUAGAGGUGAAAUUCGUAAAUAUUAGGAGGAACACCAGUGGCGAAGGCGUCUAUCUGGUUCAAAUCUGACGCUGAGGCGCGAAGGCGUGGGGAGCAAACAGGAUUAGAUACCCUGGUAGUCCACGCUGUAAACGAUGAAUGUUAAAUAUGGGAAGUUUUACUUUCUGUAUUACAGCUAACGCGUUAAACAUUCCGCCUGGGGACUACGGUCGCAAGAUUAAAACUCAAAAGAAUUGACGGGGACCCGCACAAGCGGUGGAGCAUGUGGUUUAAU
Molecule: ribosomal RNA, 910 nt
Filed under: uncultured bacterium
Lineage: Bacteria
Description: bacterial SSU rRNA
Rfam family: Bacterial small subunit ribosomal RNA
Source: RNAcentral